RNAcentral lists this ribosomal RNA (425 nucleotides) under uncultured bacterium. Its description in RNAcentral is "partial 16S ribosomal RNA". It matches the Rfam family "Bacterial small subunit ribosomal RNA", at positions 354 to 796 of the family's 1533-position model. The record is from RNAcentral.
GUGGGGAAUCUUAGACAAUGGGCGCAAGCCUGAUCUAGCCAUCCCGCGUGAGCGAUGAAGGCCUUAGGGUUGUAAAGCUCUUUCGUGGGGGAAGAUAAUGACUGUACCCCAAGAAGAAGCCCCGGCUAACUCCGUGCCAGCAGCCGCGGUAAUACGGAGGGGGCUAGCGUUGUUCGGAAUUACUGGGCGUAAAGCGCACGUAGGCGGACUGGAAAGUCAGGGGUGAAAUCCCGGGGCUCAACCCCGGAACUGCCUUUGAAACUCCCAGUCUUGAGUUCGAGAGAGGUGAGUGGAAUUCCGAGUGUAGAGGUGAAAUUCGUAGAUAUUCGGAGGAACACCAGUGGCGAAGGCGGCUCACUGGCUCGAUACUGACGCUGAGGUGCGAAAGCGUGGGGAGCAAACAGGAUUAGAUACCCUUGUAGUCC